Molecule: non-coding RNA, 72 nt
Organism: Bos taurus (domestic cattle)
Lineage: Eukaryota; Metazoa; Chordata; Mammalia; Artiodactyla; Bovidae
Source: Rfam
UCCCUAGUAGCUCAGAUGGUAAAGAAUCUGCCUGCAGUGCAGGAGUCCUGGGUUCAAUCCCUGGGUUGGGAA